This 468-nucleotide ribosomal RNA is filed under the name uncultured bacterium. RNAcentral's name for it is "partial 16S ribosomal RNA". It matches the Rfam family "Bacterial small subunit ribosomal RNA", at positions 28 to 507 of the family's 1533-position model. The record is from RNAcentral.
GGCGAACGCUGGCGGCGUGCUUAACACAUGCAAGUCGAACGGAAAGGCCCUGCUUUUGUGGGGUGCUCGAGUGGCGAACGGGUGAGUAACACGUGAGUAACCUGCCCUUGACUUUGGGAUAACUUCAGGAAACUGGGGCUAAUACCGGAUAGGAGCUCCUGCUGCAUGGUGGGGGUUGGAAAGUUUCGGCGGUUGGGGAUGGACCCGCGGCUUAUCAGCUUGUUGGUGGGGUAGUGGCUUACCAAGGCUUUGACGGGUAGCCGGCCUGAGAGGGUGACCGGCCACAUUGGGACUGAGAUACGGCCCAGACUCCUACGGGAGGCAGCAGUGGGGAAUAUUGCACAAUGGGCGGAAGCCUGAUGCAGCAACGCCGCGUGCGGGAUGACGGCCUUCGGGUUGUAAACCGCUUUCGCCUGUGACGAAGCGUGAGUGACGGUAAUGGGUAAAGAAGCACCGGCUAACUACGUG